This 406-nucleotide ribosomal RNA is filed under the name uncultured bacterium. RNAcentral describes it as "partial 16S ribosomal RNA". It matches the Rfam family "Bacterial small subunit ribosomal RNA", at positions 29 to 526 of the family's 1533-position model. The record is from RNAcentral.
AUUGAACGCUGGCGGCAGGCCUAACACAUGCAAGUCGAACGAGUGGCGGACGGGUGAGUAAUGUCUGGGGAACUGCCUGCUGGAGGGGGAUAACUACUGGAAACGGUAGCUAAUACCGCAUACCAUCGGAUGUGCCCAGAUGGGAUUAUCUAGUUGGUGGGGUAAAGGCUCACCAAGGCGACGAUCCCUAGCUGGUCUGAGAGGAUGACCAGCAACACGGGAACUGAGACACGGUACAGACUACGACGGGAGGCAGCAGUGGGGAAUAUUGCACAAUGGGAGAAAGCCUGAUGAAGCCAUGCCGCGUGUAUGAAGAAGGCCUUAGGGUUGUAAAGUACUUGCAGCGGGGAGGCGUUACCCGCAGAAGAAGCACCGGCUAACUCCGGGCCAGCAGCCGCGGUAAUUC